CCUACGGGCGGCAGCAGUGGGGAAUAUUGGGCAAUGGAGGAAACUCUGACCCAGCAACGCCGCGUGAAUGAUGACUGUCUUCGGAUUGUAAAGUUCUUUUCUAAGGGAAGAAGUAAGUUACGGUACCUUAGGAAUAAGCCUCGGCUAACUACGUGCCAGCAGCCGCGGUAAUCCGUAGGACGCAAUAGUUAUCCGGAAUGACUGGGCGUAAAGGGUGCGUGGGUGGUUUGCAAAGUUGGUUGCGAAACUCCGAGGCUUAACCUCGGCAAUGCUACCAAGACUGUUGGACUAGAGUGCAGGAGGGGCAAACGGAAUAAGUAGUGUAGCGGUGGAAUGCGUAGAUAUAAGGAGGAACACCAGUGGCGAAGGCGAUUUGCUGGACUGUAACUGACACUGAGGCACGAGAGCGUGGGGAGCAAACAGGAUUAGAUACCCUGGUAGUC
Molecule: ribosomal RNA, 443 nt
Filed under: uncultured bacterium
Lineage: Bacteria
Description: partial 16S ribosomal RNA
Rfam family: Bacterial small subunit ribosomal RNA
Source: RNAcentral